Acipenser ruthenus (sterlet) is the source of this 2535-nucleotide long non-coding RNA. RefSeq lists it as uncharacterized. NCBI's taxonomy places the organism in Eukaryota, Metazoa, Chordata, Actinopteri, Acipenseriformes, Acipenseridae. The transcript is spliced from 4 exons. The record is from RefSeq and is a predicted model, not a curated record.
UUUCAUUUUCUGGCCAAUUGAAGAAUUAUGUCUUCUCUCUUCUGCACCCAGAUAUGUGUCUACAUGCUGAAUGGCAGAAACAAAAAAUAUGUCAUACAAUUUUCAUCAAAUCAACAAGUAUAAUCAGUUGAGAGAAUUCGUGUGAAAAAUGCAUCCCCCUACAGAACUCUCUUAUUAGACUUCAGCUCUGGUGACAAUUUGAAAAGCUUGAAGGAUGUAUUUCUUAUUUCACAGCACCCGAGUAAUGACUUUAACACUGGCCUUCAUUGCAGCAAUCUGUUUGUAAGGAUCUGGAACUUACACCUGUGUGCUUUUAAGAACAGCAUCCUUGUGAGUGGGUCUCGAGACAGAACAGGGAAUGCAUGAAAGACACAUUGCCUUCAUCUUGUUGCCAGUAAAGCAGAGAGACAAUAAUAACCUUUCCAGUUAUUGAAUCACCCCAGCUGAUGAAGAAGAGGGAGGGCGGCAUUGCAAGGUUUUAAAGAAGCAGUCCAGCUGCUACAGCAUACAUCAUUACUAAAUGUCACUAAAUGUGCAAAAAUUGAAAUUAAAUAAUAUUUAAUGAUUUAGCAACAACACCUUCUGUUGUACACUAUUAGACAAUUGAAAGCAGCAACAGAUGACCUUACCAAGCAGAAGAUUCUACAUAAUUAAACACUGAGCCUGUUAUUGACAUAAUGAACCAUUGUUUUUGCAUAUGAAGGCAUGCAUAUGAAGAGUUGUUUAGUGUGUCAAAAAGUAGUAAUAAAAUACACAUACAGAAUACAGGUGAGCGCUUUUAAAAUUGUGUUUAGAAUUAUUUAGAAUGUAUGAAACUGUCCAUUGUAAUGGCUCCUGCCCUCCAGUUACAAGAAAAGUGAAAUGUGUGUGCUAGGAUUCAUAAUGAUCUCUUACUCCAAGAGACAGUGGUCAUUUAUUAGUACCUGGAAUGCAGUUCAAUUGAAGUGCGAUAUUAGUUGUUUUCUUCUCUUAUAUUCUACAAAGACAAACCUGUUUCCAAUUUGGGGUUUUGUCUUACUGCCUGUACAAAGAAGGACUGAUAGCUACUAGAACUCAAUUUCACUUACCAAUUGUGUAAUCAAUGUUGGCAUUUCAUCUAUUGGCGAUCUCAAACCAAUCAGAAUUCCUGUUUUAGUCUGGGUGAACUUCGAAGUAUAAUAAGUGUCCAUCCAUCACAGUGCAUUCUUCAGAACUUUAGAACGGUGCGGAGUAUUCUAUUAAUCAAAGAGAAUGCUAAUACAUAAUGUUUAAGUUACCGCGAGUUAUAUAGUUAAUGUUAUCUGUUUAGAGUGACUGUAUUGUAAUGAUAGUUGUGCGGUUACAAUAAUAAUAAAAAGUGUACAUUGUUAUACACUGUUAGUUACAUGUAUAAUUAUCAUGCAAUUAACAUGGCUGAAAAUAGAAUGUUUAAAGGCUUUUUUAAAGUGGUUAUUUAAUAUUAUCGCUACAUUCUCCAGUAAUGUAAAGACAGUGAGGUAUAUAAUAUUCAUAAAACACUGGUGUAAUAGUAGAGUUAUGUGACAUACCGUACCACAUCAUAUACAAAGUGAUUUGUGAAAUGUUAUGAAUAUAUUGCCUUUAACGGAUCAAAUUCAAGUUUUUUUUUUGUCUUGCAGGUGUGGGAUUAGAGGCACUGUAGAUUGAGCCAGACCUUACAAGGUCACACAAAAACUGAAUUUGCUGUAGCUCUGGAUCUGGAAAAGCAGCACAUCUUCUCAGGCUCUGCUGAUAAGGUAUAACGCACACCUAUCAGGUAUGCACAAUGAAAACUCGAGGGAAAUCCGUCAUCUUUUCAAUGGUAGGACAACAAACCCGAGCUCAAUUCAGAAGCAUAGCUCAUUGGAUAUGUUAUCUACGACUGCCGUCCGUUUCCUUGACUUUGCGAAGAAGAAGAUUGCUUUAAGAAAUGAUCAUCCUUCACAUUGAUGAACAUGUUUUGUUACAUUAUUAAAGUGUCUUGUUAUAUUAUUAAAGCACACUCAAUUACUACAAUAUGCAAUAUACUUCCCUGAGUAAAGAUUUAAAAUUCCUUCACCUCAGGCAUAGCUCCUUUUCUUCCCAUAUGCUAUUCAAUUUCAGUAGAGCUGUGCUAAGAUAAAUUAAAAUAAUGUUAAAAAAAUCACAGGGACUGGUUUUGAGGGAGUGAAUUGUCUAUUCUAAGGCAUUUUCAAAUAUUGGUUUUCCUGAAAAAAAGAAAGCCCCUCUCAUGCAUUGUUAAACGGCUUAUUUACUUUUACAGCGCAAGAUGAGAAACAACAAACAGCCUUUACAUUAAUAAUGAGAAGUAAAGUCGAGCUCUUGCUCAUCACAAUAGAAAGUGAUUCGCGACCACUUUGUCGUUUUUGGAUUUCGGAAUGGCAGUGAUGUACUGUUACAAACAAGCAAUCAUCAGUUCCUAGGGAAAAGGGGCCUGCGUUGCAAACAAGAGUAAUCAUUGAAAAGAGUAGCUGUUAAAUUAGCCAUCAUAUGGUUAAAAAUUGCUUAGCACUCCCAGAACACAUGGAAGGUUGCUAUUGUAGGCAGUGGUAACUUGAA